Long non-coding RNA from Lemur catta (Ring-tailed lemur), 480 nucleotides. RefSeq lists it as uncharacterized. The record is from RefSeq and is a predicted model, not a curated record. NCBI's taxonomy places the organism in Eukaryota, Metazoa, Chordata, Mammalia, Primates, Lemuridae. The transcript is spliced from 3 exons.
GCGCCGGGGCAGCAUUCCCAGCGCUGUUAGCCCUGAGGCGGCUGUGGAGAGGAGACGCCUCGCGUGUGGCAGCGGCGACGGCAGCAGCAGCAGCGCUGUUUCCAGGGGCGACGGGCGUGGACGCGGGACGUUGAAUCUGUGAAUGCCUAACCGUAGAUCUGGAAAGCUGACCAUAGAGAUUGCUGCCAGGUGUGAAGUGUCAUGGGAAGAAAAGAAAAAGAAUGAGGUAAGGAGGAUUGAGAAUUGGUGUCUGGUGGUUGCAAUUUUAAAUAUCUGGCUCAGGCUAAGUAUCAACGCUAAGUCACGUUCCUUGUGAGAGGAUAUUCUGGCUGCUGUUUCGACAAUGAACAGAGUAGAUGAUGGGCAGGGAGGCCCUGUAGUUUAGUAGGCCACUGAGGUAUAAUCGAGAUGCUGGAAGUAGCGCAGGCAGAGUUUUGCGGGUACUUUGGUGGAGUACUGGCCGCUAGACUGGGACACUGU